Lactuca sativa (garden lettuce) is the source of this 1158-nucleotide long non-coding RNA. RefSeq lists it as uncharacterized. NCBI's taxonomy places the organism in Eukaryota, Viridiplantae, Streptophyta, Magnoliopsida, Asterales, Asteraceae. The record is from RefSeq and is a predicted model, not a curated record.
UACACUUCUGGAAGACUAACCCUAAAAUAACUCGUUCACGCUUCUCUUCUAGUUUUCUAGGUUACAGCCGACAUAUUUCCAAAUUGACGGAGUUACCCUUCUUUCUUUAAUCGAUCGAAACGCACAAGAAAAAAUCGAAUCAUAGAUUCAUACAGCUUUCUUUCUCUUCGAUCGACGCCACAAACAAUCACAGUUACUUUGGAGGUCUUUACAUGAUGGUUAAGACCAUCUCCAACCUAUCCAUAUUUCCCCCCUUUACAAACACACCCCUUUACUAAUUUAGUUUUAACAAAUAAAAAUAAAUUUUAUAUUUUUGAUUAAUCAAUAUAAUUUAUUAUAUUUCAUAAUAUUAUAAAUAUUAAACAUUAUAUUUAAAUUAAAUCUAAUAGAUAAAAUAAACUACAAAUGUAUAAAUAUAUAAAAUUAGGGACUAAACCCGACAACUGAAACUUCAUGUGUAUAUAUAUGGGGUAAUACUAUUCAUAUCUCCAAACAUGGAGGGAGAAAUAGGAUAGGGUUGGAGAAGAAUGGGAGAGAAAAUGGAGAAAAAAAUAGCAUUUGAGGAUGAGUUGGAGAUGCUCUAAAGGAUGGAUUUCCAAUCGAAGACCACAAUGGCAUUGUUGUCCAUUUGAAGAUUUGAGUUGACGAGUUUAUAAGCAUGUAGAUACCAUAAACUAUUUUUGAUAUCUAUAAAAUGUAGAAAUCGUGGUUUCUUGAUUCUCAUCCAACAAGAUGUUGGAGCUCUUUAUGUCACGAUGUAUGACUUUUUGUCAACGAUUACAAAGGAUUAUGAAGGUAGUCUAGCCCACACGCAACAUCAUUGCAUAUCUUGAGACAUUUGCUCUACAUGAGACUUGUGCAUCCAAAAAUAUGUGUUGUGCAAGUGUCACGUGAGAGUCUGAUGCGUCAAGAUAGACAUUGGUUUUGUGCGUGGGUUAGCAUACCGUCAUAAUCCUUUGUUAUCGCAACAGAAAGUCGUGCAUGGUGAUAUAAAUAGCUCUAACAUCAUGUUGGAUAAGAACUGCGAUACUAUGAUUUCAAGUUUUUGUAUCUUAAAUAGUAUAUCUAAGACAUUUUCUAGUUGUGGAUUGGUUUUUGUUAUUUGUUUUGAACUAUUGUAAUUGUAAAAUGUGAAUUUAAAGAAAUGAACUUUGGGGA